UGGGGAAUUUUGCGCAAUGGGGGAAACCCUGACGCAGCAACGCCGCGUGGAGGAUGAAAUCCCUUGGGAUGUAAACUCCUUUCGAUCGGGAAGAUAAUGACGGUACCGAGAGAAGAAGCCCCGGCUAACUUCGUGCCAGCAGCCGCGGUAAUACGAGGGGGGCAAGCGUUGUUCGGAAUUAUUGGGCGUAAAGGGUGCGUAGGCGGUUUGAUAAGUCACAUGUGAAAUCUUCGGGCUCAACCCGAAGUCUGCAUGCGAAACUGUCGGGCUUGAGUAUGGGAGAGGUGAGUGGAAUUUCCGGUGUAGCGGUGAAAUGCGUAGAUAUCGGAAGGAACACCUGUGGCGAAAGCGGCUCACUGGACCAUAACUGACGCUGAUGCACGAAAGCUAGGGGAGCAAACAGG
This 404-nucleotide ribosomal RNA is filed under the name uncultured bacterium. RNAcentral's name for it is "bacterial SSU rRNA". It matches the Rfam family "Bacterial small subunit ribosomal RNA", at positions 355 to 776 of the family's 1533-position model. The record is from RNAcentral.